CAUACCAUCAAUCUCAGCCCGGCUGGGCAUCUCCGGGUGGGGACUCCUUUUGGGUAGUUUCAAGGGGGGCCAUCCCGGCUUUACUAAGCCACCCUGUUAAUUGAAUGCGUAGAGUGUCUUGCUCGGGGUGAUCGCACGCAAGGAACACAACUUUCAACAUUGGAUCUAUGGGCUCUUGCUCAGAUGAAGAACACAGAGAAAUGCGAUUCACAAUUGAAUUGCUGAUUUCAGCGAAGCAGAAAAUCUUUGAACACUCCGAGCGCCCGUGGGCAUUCCGGGGGGCACUCCCGUAUGAGAGUUGUGACAUCCCCAAACCCUCUUGGUUUUUCCACCAGGGAAGGCUUUUGACUGUCAGGUUUUUCCUCGAGCCACUUUGUUGGAGCCAGCUCUUUUGAAACAAAUUAGUGGGGUCUCCUUUGACGAUCCUUGGCGUGAUAAGAUAUUUGUUUACGAGCCGAG
RNAcentral lists this ribosomal RNA (459 nucleotides) under uncultured Russulaceae. RNAcentral's name for it is "eukaryotic LSU rRNA". The stretch from base 149 to 301 matches the Rfam family "5.8S ribosomal RNA". Lineage: Eukaryota; Fungi; Basidiomycota; Agaricomycetes; Russulales; Russulaceae. The record is from RNAcentral.